GACGAACGCUGGCGGCGUGCUUAACACAUGCAAGUCGAACGGAAAGGCCCUGCUUUUGUGGGGUGCUCGAGUGGCGAACGGGUGAGUAACACGUGAGUAACCUGCCCUUGACUUUGGGAUAACUUCAGGAAACUGGGGCUAAUACCGGAUAGGAGCUCCUGCUGCAUGGGGGGGGUUGGAAAGUUUCGGCGGUUGGGGAUGGACUCGCGGCUUAUCAGCUUGUUGGUGGGGUAGUGGCUUACCAAGGCUUUGACGGGUAGCCGGCCUGAGAGGGUGACCGGCCACAUUGGGACUGAGAUACGGCCCAGAAUCCUACGGGAGGCAGCAGUGGGGAAUAUUGCACAAUGGGCGGAAGCCUGAUGCAGCAACGCCGCGUGCGGGAUGACGGCCUUCGGGUUGUAAACCGCUUUCGCCUGUGACGAAGCGUGAGUGACGGUAAUGGGUAAAGAAGCACCGGCUAACUACGUG
This 468-nucleotide ribosomal RNA is filed under the name uncultured bacterium. RNAcentral describes it as "partial 16S ribosomal RNA". It matches the Rfam family "Bacterial small subunit ribosomal RNA", at positions 28 to 507 of the family's 1533-position model. The record is from RNAcentral.